Molecule: ribosomal RNA, 30 nt
Filed under: Phellinus robustus
Lineage: Eukaryota; Fungi; Basidiomycota; Agaricomycetes; Hymenochaetales; Hymenochaetaceae
Description: partial 28S ribosomal RNA
Source: RNAcentral
UUUGACCUCAAAUCAGGACUACCCGCUGAC